Molecule: ribosomal RNA, 567 nt
Filed under: uncultured bacterium
Lineage: Bacteria
Description: bacterial SSU rRNA
Rfam family: Bacterial small subunit ribosomal RNA
Source: RNAcentral
CCUACGGGAGGCAGCAGUGGGGAAUUUUCCGCAAUGGGCGAAAGCCUGACGGAGCAAUACCGCGUGAGGGAAGAAAGCCUACUGGGUUGUAAACCUCUUUUUUCAGGGAGGAAAAAAAUGACGUGUACCUGAAGAAUAAGCAUCGGCUAACUCCGUGCCAGCAGCCGCGGUAAGACGGAGGAUGCAAGUGUUAUCCGGAAUUACUGGGCGUAAAGCGUCUGUAGGUGGUUCAAUAAGUCAACUGUUAAAUCUUGAGGCUUAACUUCAAAACAGCAGUCGAAACUAUUAGACUAGAGUAUAGUAGGGGUAAAGGGAAUUUCCAGUGGAGCGGUGAAAUGCGUAGAUAUUGGAAAGAACACCGAUGGCGAAAGCACUUUACUGGGCUAUUACUAACACUCAGAGACGAAAGCUAGGGUAGCAAAUGGGAUUAGAUACCCCAGUAGUCCUAGCUGUAAACAAUGGAUACUAGAUGUUGAACAGAUCGACCUGUGCAGUAUUAAAGCUAACGCGUUAAGUAUCCCGCCUGGGAAGUAUGCUCGCAAGAGUGAAACUCAAAGGAAUUGACGG